AGAUCGAACUAUAGAGUUUGAUCCUGGCUCAGAUUGAACGCUGGCGGCAUGCCUUACACAUGCAAGUCGAACGGCAGCACGGGAGCAAUCCUGGUGGCGAGUGGCGAACGGGUGAGUAAUAUAUCGGAACGU
RNAcentral lists this ribosomal RNA (132 nucleotides) under Burkholderiales bacterium. RNAcentral describes it as "partial 16S ribosomal RNA". It matches the Rfam family "Bacterial small subunit ribosomal RNA", at positions 1 to 127 of the family's 1533-position model. Lineage: Bacteria; Pseudomonadati; Pseudomonadota; Betaproteobacteria; Burkholderiales. The record is from RNAcentral.